Molecule: ribosomal RNA, 464 nt
Filed under: uncultured bacterium
Lineage: Bacteria
Description: partial 16S ribosomal RNA
Rfam family: Bacterial small subunit ribosomal RNA
Source: RNAcentral
CUACGGGCGGCAGCAGUGGGGAAUAUUGGACAAUGGGGGAAACCCUGAUCCAGCAAUGCCGCGUGUGUGAAGAAGGCCUGCGGGUUGUAAAGCACUUUCGGUUGGGAGGACUGCUUCUAGCACUAAUAUUGUUGGAAGUUGACGUUACCUUCAGAAGAAGCACCGGCUAACUCCGUGCCAGCAGCCGCGGUAAUACGGAGGAUGCAAGCGUUAAUCGGAAUUACUGGGCGUAAAGCGCGCGUAGGCGGCUAGAUCAGUCGGGUGUGAAAGCCCCGGGCUUAACCUGGGAACUGCAUCCGUACUGUCUAGCUUGAGUACAGGAGAGGAGAGUGGAAUUCCACAUGUAGCGGUGAAAUGCGUAGAUAUGUGGAGGAACACCAAUGGCGAAGGCAGCUCUCUGGCCUGAUACUGACGCUGAGGUGCGAAAGCGUGGGGAGCAAACAGGAUUAGAUACCCGGGUAGUC